GGGGAAUAUUGCACAAUGGGCGAAAGCCUGAUGCAGCAACGCCGCGUGAGUGAUGACGGUCUUCGGAUUGUAAAGCUCUGUCUUUGGGGACGAUAAUGACGGUACCCAAGGAGGAAGCCACGGCUAACUACGUGCCAGCAGCCGCGGUAAUACGUAGGUGGCAAGCGUUGUCCGGAUUUACUGGGCGUAAAGGGUGCGUAGGCGGACCUUUAAGUGAGAUGUGAAAUCCCCGAGCUUAACUUGGGGGCUGCAUUUCAAACUGGAGGUCUAGAGUGCAGGAGAGGAGAGUGGAAUUCCUAGUGCAGCGGUGAAAUGCGUAGAGAUUAGGAAGAACACCAGUGGCGAAGGCGACUCUCUGGACUGUAACUGACGCUGAGGCACGAAAGCGUGGGGAGCAACCAG
RNAcentral lists this ribosomal RNA (402 nucleotides) under uncultured bacterium. Its description in RNAcentral is "bacterial SSU rRNA". It matches the Rfam family "Bacterial small subunit ribosomal RNA", at positions 356 to 775 of the family's 1533-position model. The record is from RNAcentral.